RNAcentral lists this transfer RNA (72 nucleotides) under Phrynosoma platyrhinos (Desert horned lizard). RNAcentral describes it as "tRNA-OTHER". Lineage: Eukaryota; Metazoa; Chordata; Lepidosauria; Squamata; Phrynosomatidae. The record is from RNAcentral.
GCCAGUGUGGUGUAGUGGUUUGACUGCUGGACUGCAACUCUGGAGAUCAGGGUUUGAUUCCCCACUCAGCCA